GAUGAACGCUGGCGGCGUGCUUAACACAUGCAAGUCGAACGAUGAAGCCCAGCUUGCUGGGUGGAUUAGUGGCGAACGGGUGAGUAACACGUGAGUAACCUGCCCUUGACUCUGGGAUAAGCCCGGGAAACUGGGUCUAAUACCGGAUAGGAGCGCCUGUCGCAUGACGGGUGUUGGAAAGAUUUUUCGGUCAUGGAUGGACUCGCGGCCUAUCAGCUUGUUGGUGAGGUAAUGGCUCACCAAGGCGACGACGGGUAGCCGGCCUGAGAGGGUGACCGGCCACACUGGGACUGAGACACGGCCCAGACUCCUACGGGAGGCAGCAGUGGGGAGUAUUGCACAAUGGGCGGAAGCCUGAUGCAGCGACGCCGCGUGAGGGAUGACGGCCUUCGGGUUGUAAACCUCUUUCAGUAGGGAAGAAGCGAAAGUGACGGUACCUGCAGAAGAAGCACCGGCUAACUACGUG
This 466-nucleotide ribosomal RNA is filed under the name uncultured bacterium. RNAcentral describes it as "partial 16S ribosomal RNA". It matches the Rfam family "Bacterial small subunit ribosomal RNA", at positions 28 to 507 of the family's 1533-position model. The record is from RNAcentral.